CAGCCGCCGCGGUAAUACCGGCGGCCCGAGUGGCGGCCACUAUUAUUGGGCUUAAAGCGUCCGUAGCCGGGUUGGUUAGUCUCCCGGGAAAUCUGGCCGCUUAACGGUCAGAAUUCCGGGAGAUACUGCCAGCCUAGGGACCGGGAGAGGCCGAGGGGAUUCCCGGAGUAGGGGUGAAAUCCUAUAAUCCCGGGAGGACCACCUGUGGCGAAGGCGCUCGGCUGGAACGCGUCCGACGGUGAGGGACGAAGGCCAGGGGAGCAAACCGGAUUAGAUACCCGGGUAGUCCUGGCGGUAAACGAUGCGGACUUUGUGUCGGACAAGCUAUGAGCUUGUCCGGUGCCGGAGGGAAACCGUUAAGUCCGCCGCCUGGGGAGUACGGCCGCAAGGCUGAAACUUAAAGGAAUUGGCGGG
RNAcentral lists this ribosomal RNA (414 nucleotides) under uncultured microorganism. RNAcentral describes it as "bacterial SSU rRNA". It matches the Rfam family "Archaeal small subunit ribosomal RNA", at positions 459 to 872 of the family's 1478-position model. The record is from RNAcentral.